CUCUUAUCGAGAGCGGCGGAGGGACAGGCCCGAUGAAGCCCGGCAACCGGCAAUUUAUUGCCACGGUGCCAAUCCCGACCCCUUUUUUGGGGACGGAUGAGAG
Molecule: non-coding RNA, 103 nt
Filed under: Sulfobacillus thermosulfidooxidans
Lineage: Bacteria; Bacillati; Bacillota; Clostridia; Eubacteriales; Clostridiales Family XVII. Incertae Sedis
Also listed under: 1 other name
Description: SAM-I sequence
Rfam family: SAM riboswitch aptamer (S box leader)
About the family: The SAM riboswitch is found upstream of a number of genes which code for proteins involved in methionine or cysteine biosynthesis in Gram-positive bacteria. The SAM riboswitch acts at the level of transcription termination control.
Source: RNAcentral